UUGACCCAUUUUCAUAGUGCUCAGAGAGACCGCUAAAUUCAGGAGUUCUUGGUCCCCCGGCGGGCGCCCGGCGAACCGGACCCGGGGACCCCCUCCCAGGGGGCCGCCCGCCGAGGCAACUGUUUGAGGUAAGGUUCACAGUGGGUUUGGGAGUCGUGGACUCUGUAAUGAUCCCUCCGCUGGUUCACCAACGGAGA
This 197-nucleotide unclassified non-coding RNA is filed under the name uncultured fungus. Its description in RNAcentral is "sequence contains ITS1". Lineage: Eukaryota; Fungi. The record is from RNAcentral.